Molecule: long non-coding RNA, 2384 nt
Filed under: Mus musculus (house mouse)
Lineage: Eukaryota; Metazoa; Chordata; Mammalia; Rodentia; Muridae
Description: long non-coding RNA chr4:48544484-48546868
Source: RNAcentral
GGGAGGCUUUAAUAAUAAAUCUAAAGGCGUUUCAGGGGCGCUUUAAGAUGGAGCUGUGGAGGAGAUGAAGGAAGGGACCAGGACUUUUAAGAAUACUCACCCAGUUUAAAGUGGGGUUUGUGUAAGUGGGAGGACAAAGAGGAGGGUGAGGAGUAUGAGGAGAGGGGCCUUGCCUUAAACACAAGGCUUAUCCACUCACAGUCACGCACAGACACAGAUGGCAAAAAAAACCCCAAGUUCUAUGGCUGCCUGGAGAGAGUGGGGGCAACACAGUAGACGAGGCAAGGUCAGUGUUGGUGCCAAGCCCUCUAAAAAGAAAGGAGGAGGAGAGGAGGAAAGGGUGUCGGUGGGUGGCUGUCCUGGGCAGACAGGUUUGAGCCUGUGAGCCAUGACAGCCACAGUCAUCAUGGGUCUCUGAAAAGCUGCCAUUUCUACUUCCCUUAGGGCUUUCCUGGUAUUCUCAGGAAACCAGAAAACUAAAAUUUACUGAUUAAUCCCAUGUCAAAAAGAUAUUUUGGACAGUAGAACAUGUAACUGUAAUUAGUAAACAAAACAACAAAAUAAAUGGCAAUCAGGUGUGUGGCUACAUGAAUAACAACUAUGGAUCAAAUGCCUGUGGGCCUUAGCUACCUUUCCUGGAAUUGCUAAAUGUACAAAGCUAAACCUGUGUACAGCCUUAAAGCAAGGACUGCUGGAAGGUGCCAGGAUCAUUUCAUUGUGCUGCACAGUAUUUUAUUUCACUGGUCCAAAGCCCUACUAGCUUAAUGAACAAUCAGAAAAUGCUGUCCAUGUGUCUUUGGCUGUAUUGGGCUGUGGAAAUUAAUUUGCAGAGGAACGACUGCUAAUCUGGACCCACCCGCCCUGGAUGGGACUUAGAGAACACCUGCUUUAGCUGUAAUUUAGAGCUGAGGAGCUGACAGGGAGGAAAGAGGACUUGCUGCAUGCCACGAAAUAAGUGUCAGCAUGCCCUUACGUUUUCAGACGACACGUCAGUCACUUUCUGCCACUGUGCCUAAACCCUGAGCUAAUUGGUUUAUAAAAAGAAAAGGCGUGGGUUGGGGGCAUAGCUGAGCAGUGGACACUUCCCCAGCGUACAGGAAGCCCCAGGCUUAGUCCCGAGCACUGCAGUUAGGAACUGGUAAAGGUCAUUGGGGCUCAUAGUUCUUGUUUGUUUGAGACAGGUAGCCUUGCCUGGCCGGAAACUCACUAUCUAGAUGAAGCUAGCUUUGAACUCAUAAAGAUCCACUUGCCUCUGCUUCUUGAGCACUGGGCUUAAAGGUAUGUGCCACACACCACAUCUCUUUAAGGUCUUCAUUCAGUUGGCCCUAUUGGUUUGGGCCUGUGGCAGGGCAGUGUGGCAAGAUGGGAGUAUGUGGCUGGGAAAAUGAUUUAUCCUAGACUAAGGAGCAAAGAGAAGAUGAGGAAGGCGCUAGAGUUCUACUUCCUCCUCGGGUGUAACUCUCUGUGUCCUGAAGCCACCUCACUAGAUCCUCUCCUGGAUGGUUCCAAUUCUUCGUGAGAAUGUCACUGGGCACCAGGCCUCAACACAAGGGACUCUGCAGAACGCUUUGGAUCUAAAUCCCAGCGGAUGGGAUGUGGAGGGAAGGCUCGAGAGCACCUCGGAGAAAAGGGCACCUUAGUGGGAAGCUGUGGGGAGCAAGCUUGGAGAUAAACCAUGACCUUUCAGCAGCAGCGGGCCCCGCCCCCGUUAUCAGCUCCCGGAGAAGCCCGCACUUGUGCCAAGCCUUAGAUUUCUCAUUUGUGAAGAAAGAAAGGUUGGAUGGGGUCUUUUCAUUAUAAAGUUUUUAGUAUGCUACGGUUUAGGUUUUUUCAAAGGACGGUUAUUUUCAAGGUGAUGAGCUAGGAGAUAGGAUGGUAAGGGAAAAUAGGAACCUGCCUUCCCUUUUUAAAGACAGACAAACCUGUUGGCAGGCUUCCAUGGGAGGUGCACGCCGUUUCCCUCAGCCCGCCCACUACUUCUACGUAUAAUGUGUUAUGAUUCUGUUUUGUUCUGAUGCUCAUUUGUUUCUAGUGAGCAUUAAGGUUCUUGUUCUAGGAACAGCUCUGCCCUGGGGUAUCUCUGCCACUGUUUCUCACACUGUCUCUUUCUGUGUUACACGUCUCUGUGCUGUGUUCCAUAUUUGUGGACCUGCAAUCUCUCCACCUUAGGGAGCAUUGGUCUCUUUGAUACCAGCUCAGGGCUGCUGCUCUUUCAGGACACAUGCAUCUCAGUGCCUCUGUAUUCUCUUCCUCCCUUCCCCUGUGUGUGCCCAGACACAUCCUGGUCACAGCAUCCGUAACACAGCCCUCUGUAUAUAUUUCUUUCUCCCUAUGAACAUUGUCCUACCCAGGGUGCAGAUCCUUUCUUAUUCUCCCUCCCCACU